GAUGAAGAACGCAGCAAAAUGCGAUAAGUAAUGUGAAUUGCAGAAUUCAGUGAAUCAUCGAAUCUUUGAACGCACAUUGCGCCCGCCAGUAUUCUGGCGGGCAUGCCUGUUCGAGCGUCAUUUCAACCCUCAAGCACAGCUUGGUGUUGGGACUCGCGUUAAUUCGCGUUCCCCAAAUUGAUUGGCGGUCACGUCGAGCUUCCAUAGCGUAGUAGUAAAACCCUCGUUACUGGUAAUCGUCGCGGCCACGCCGUUAAACCCCAACUUCUGAACGUUGACCUCGGAUCAGGUAGGAAUACCCGCUGAACUUAAGCAUAUCAAUAAGCGGAGGA
RNAcentral lists this unclassified non-coding RNA (332 nucleotides) under soil metagenome. Its description in RNAcentral is "partial contains 5.8S ribosomal RNA, internal transcribed spacer 2, and large subunit ribosomal RNA". The stretch from base 1 to 120 matches the Rfam family "5.8S ribosomal RNA", at positions 35 to 154 of the family's 154-position model. The record is from RNAcentral.